This 401-nucleotide long non-coding RNA is filed under the name Pan troglodytes (chimpanzee). RNAcentral describes it as "lincRNA". The record is from RNAcentral. Lineage: Eukaryota; Metazoa; Chordata; Mammalia; Primates; Hominidae.
UCCCAGGCCACAGCCACAUGGAGCCAUCUGCACCAUGAAGCUGAAGAUAAAGCCGCAGAAAGAUUGCUGUGUGUUGUGAGUGGAGAAGAGCCCUGCUUCUCUUCACUGGCUGAUGUGCAGACAUUUAUUAGUAAAUCUUCACGGCGGUCUAGGGAGGCCUUUGACUGAGCGCUGUUCAUCGAGUCCAGCCCCGGCUUUGCAAAUAAACAGCUGACACCAAGAGAGGAGAAGCAACACGGCUAAGGCCACAGGGUGACAAAGCCUUAACAGCAAGAAGGGGAGAAGGCAGUCAUCUGGAAACGAGGAAGACAGCCCUCACCAGAAACUGACACUGUUGGACCUCGAUCUUGGACUUGCAGCCUCUAGAAUUGCAAGAAAAUAAAUUUAAGCUGUGGACUCUG